Molecule: ribosomal RNA, 468 nt
Filed under: uncultured bacterium
Lineage: Bacteria
Description: partial 16S ribosomal RNA
Rfam family: Bacterial small subunit ribosomal RNA
Source: RNAcentral
GACGAACGCUGGCGGCGUGCUUAACACAUGCAAGUCGAACGGAAAGGCCCUGCUUUUGUGGGGUGCUCGAGUGGCGAACGGGUGAGUAACACGUGAGUAACCUGCCCUUGACUUUGGGAUAACUUCAGGAAACUGGGGCUAAUACCGGAUAGGAGCUCCUGCUGCAUGGUGGGGGUUGGAAAGUUUCGGCGGUUGGGGAUGGACUCGCGGCUUAUCAGCUUGUUGGUGGGGUAGUGGCUUACCAAGGCUUUGACGGGUAGCCGGCCUGAGAGGGUGACCGGCCAAAUUGGGAAUGAGAUACGGCCCAGACUCCUACGGGAGGCAGCAGGGGGGAAGAGUGCACAAGGGGCGGAAGCCUGAGGCAGGAACGCCGCGUGCGGGAUGACGGCCUUCGGGUUGGAAACAGCUUUCGCCUGUGACGAAGCGUGAGUGACGGUAAUGGGUAAAGAAGCACCGGCUAACUACGUG